Molecule: ribosomal RNA, 219 nt
Filed under: Ochromonas sp. CCMP1393
Lineage: Eukaryota; Chrysophyceae; Chromulinales; Chromulinaceae
Description: partial Bacterial large subunit ribosomal RNA
Rfam family: Bacterial large subunit ribosomal RNA
Source: RNAcentral
GUGAGACCUACAAGUCGAGCAGAGACGAAAGUCGGUCAUAGUGAUCCGGUGGUCCCGAGUGGAAGGGCCAUCGCUCAACGGAUAAAAGGUACUCCGGGGAUAACAGGCUGAUACCGCCCAAGAGUUCAUAUCGACGGCGGUGUUUGGCACCUCGAUGUCGGCUCAUCACAUCCUGGGGCUGAAGCCGGUCCCAAGGGUAUGGCUGUUCGCCAUUUAAAG